CAGCAAGACCUGAGUUGCAAGCAGUAGAAACCCAUGCUAGCUGACUCAGGUAGAAAAGACAUUUCGUUAGAAGGAAAUGGGAGUGGUCACAGGAUUGGCAGAACAGUUGGAAAUCCAGCUGGAGAAAUAGACAGGAACAAGCCAGAAGCACACUGAAACCUAUCCAAAAGCAUCCCAGGAGGGCACACUGAGUGCCGCAUGGAGCCUGCACCACCAUGGGGAGGAAGCAGCCACCGCCUUCCUGAAUCCCCACCAGGCAGAAACAUCUCUCCCGUCUUUGAACUUCACCACGCCGUGCAUCUUCCUCUGGGUGUGCAAUCGUCACCUGCGUACAUGAUUGAUUCUGCCCCCA
Molecule: long non-coding RNA, 352 nt
Filed under: Homo sapiens (human)
Lineage: Eukaryota; Metazoa; Chordata; Mammalia; Primates; Hominidae
Description: non-protein coding lnc-ATP13A4-2:1
Source: RNAcentral